GUAUAUUGGACCAUGGGGGGAACCCUGAUCCAGCCAUGCCGCGUGUCUGACGAAGGCCUUUUGGUUGUAACGCACUUUACGCGCGGAGGCGGCUACUCUAGUUACUACCUAGGGAUAGUGGACGUUACCCGCCGAAUACGCACCGGCUACCUCCGUGCCAGCACCCGCGGUAAUACCGAGGGUGCAAGCGUGAAUCGGAUUUACUGGGCGUAAAGCGCGCGUAGGUGGCCAAUUAAGUCAAAUGUGAAAUCCCCGAGCUUAACGUGGGAAUUGCAGUAGAUACUGGUUGGCGAGAGUAUGGGAGAGGAUGGUAGAAUUCCGGGUGUAGCGGUGAAAUGCGUAGAGAUCUGGAGGAAUACCGAUGGCGAAGGCAGCCAUCUGGCCUAAUACUGACACUGAGGUGCGAAAGCAGGGGGAGCAAACA
RNAcentral lists this ribosomal RNA (424 nucleotides) under uncultured bacterium. RNAcentral's name for it is "partial 16S ribosomal RNA". It matches the Rfam family "Bacterial small subunit ribosomal RNA", at positions 359 to 774 of the family's 1533-position model. The record is from RNAcentral.